This 253-nucleotide ribosomal RNA is filed under the name uncultured bacterium. RNAcentral describes it as "partial 16S ribosomal RNA". It matches the Rfam family "Bacterial small subunit ribosomal RNA", at positions 524 to 776 of the family's 1533-position model. The record is from RNAcentral.
UACGGAGGGUGCAAGCGUUACUCGGAAUCAUUGGGCGUAAAGCGCACGUAGGCGGUCUCUUAAGUCCGGCGUGAAAUCCUGGGGCUCAACCUCAGAUGGCCGUUGGAAACUGAGAGACUUGAGAAUGGAAGGGGUCAGUGGAAUUCCUGGUGUAGGAGUGAAAUCCGUAGAGAUCAGGAGGAACACCGGUGGCGAAGGCGACUGACUGGGCCAUUUCUGACGCUAAUGUGCAAAAGCGUGGGGAGCAAACAGG